AUUGUGCUAAGUGAAAGAAGCCAGUCACAAAAGACCACUCAUUGUGUAAUUCCAUUUAUAUGAAAUGUUUAGAGAAGGCAAAUCCAUAGACACAGAAAGUAGAUUAGCAGUUGCCAGGGCUGGUGAGGCAGGGGAGGCAGGCUAGGGGGAAAUGUGGAGGGACUGCUAAUGGGUGCAGGGUUUCUUUUAGGGGUGAUGAAAAUGUUCUAAAAUUAAUUGUGGGCCGGGCACCGUGGCUCACACCUGUAAUGCCAGCACUUUGAGAGAGGUCGAGGCGGGCAGAUCACUUGAGGUCAGGAGUUUGAGACUAGUCUAGCCAACAUGGUGAAACCCGUCUCUACUAAAAAUACAAAAAUUAGCCAGGCGUGGUGGUGUGUGCCUGUAGUCUCAGCUACUUGGGAGGCUGAGGCUGGAGAAGCACUUGAACCUGGGAGGCAGAGGUUGCAGUGAGCUGAGAUCAUGCCACUGCAA
Molecule: long non-coding RNA, 471 nt
Filed under: Homo sapiens (human)
Lineage: Eukaryota; Metazoa; Chordata; Mammalia; Primates; Hominidae
Description: HSALNT0382327
Source: RNAcentral